AUUGAACGCUGGCGGCAGGCUUAACACAUGCAAGUCGAGCGGGGGGAGGUAGCUUGCUACCGGACCUAGCGACGGACGGGUGAGUAAUGCUUAGGAAUCUGCCUAUUAGUGGGGGACAACAUCUCGAAAGGGAUGCUAAUACCGCAUACGUCCUACGGGAGACAGCAGGGGAUCUUCGGACCUUGCGCUAAUAGAGGAGCCUACGUCGGAUUAGCUAGUUGGUGGGGUAAAGGCCUACCAAGGCGACGAUCUGUAGCGGGUCUGAGAGGAUGAUCCGCCACACUGGGACUGAGACACGGCCCAGACUCCUACGGGAGGCAGCAGUGGGGAAUAUUGGACAAUGGGGGGAACCCUGAUCCAGCCAUGCCGCGUGUGUGAAGAAGGCCUUAUGGUUGUAAAGCACUUUAAGCGAGGAGGAGGCUACUUUAGUUAAUACCUAGAGAUAGUGGACGUUACUCGCAGAAUAAGCACCGGCUAACUCUGUGCCAGCAGCCGCAGUAA
This 501-nucleotide ribosomal RNA is filed under the name uncultured bacterium. RNAcentral describes it as "partial 16S ribosomal RNA". It matches the Rfam family "Bacterial small subunit ribosomal RNA", at positions 30 to 523 of the family's 1533-position model. The record is from RNAcentral.